Molecule: ribosomal RNA, 492 nt
Filed under: uncultured bacterium
Lineage: Bacteria
Description: partial 16S ribosomal RNA
Rfam family: Bacterial small subunit ribosomal RNA
Source: RNAcentral
AGUGAACGCUGGCGGUAGGCCUAACACAUGCAAGUCGAACGGCAGCACAGUAAGAGCUUGCUCUUACGGGUGGCGAGUGGCGGACGGGUGAGGAAUACAUCGGAAUCUACUUUUUCGUGGGGGAUAACGUAGGGAAACUUACGCUAAUACCGCAUACGACCUACGGGUGAAAGCAGGGGAUCUUCGGACCUUGCGCGAUUGAAUGAGCCGAUGUCGGAUUAGCUAGUUGGCGGGGUAAAAGCCCACCAAGGCGACGAUCCGUAGCUGGUCUGAGAGGAUGAUCAGCCACACUGGAACUGAGACACGGUCCAGACUCCUACGGGAGGCAGCAGUGGGGAAUAUUGGACAAUGGGCGCAAGCCUGAUCCAGCCAUACCGCGUGGGUGAAGAAGGCCUUCGGGUUGUAAAGCCCUUUUGUUGGGAAAGAAAAGCAGCAGGUUAAUACCCCGCUGUUCUGACGGUACCCAAAGAAUAAGCACCGGCUAACUUCGUG